CCUACGUGUGGCAGCAGUGGGGGAUAUUGCACAAUGGGGGACACCCUGAUGCAGCGACGCCGCGUGUGGGAAGACGGUCCUCUGGAUUGUAAACCACUGUCCCCAGGGACGAAGAUGACGGUACCUGGGGAGGAAGCUCCUGCUAACUACGUGCCAGCAGCCGCGGUAAUACGUAGGGAGCAAGCGUUUUCCGGAAUUACUGGGUGUAAAGGGAGCGUAGGCGGUAUGGCAAGUUGGGUGUUAAAUCUACCGGCUCAACUGGUAGUCGCACUCAAAACUGCUAUUCUUGAGUGAAGUAGAGGCAGGCGGAAUGCCUAGGGUAGCGGUGAAAUGCGUAGAUAUUAGGAGGAAAACCAGUGGCGAAGGCGGCCUGCUGGGCUUUUACUGACGCUGAGGCUCGAAAGUGUGGGGAGCAAACAGGAUUAGAUACCCCAGUAGUC
Molecule: ribosomal RNA, 440 nt
Filed under: uncultured bacterium
Lineage: Bacteria
Description: partial 16S ribosomal RNA
Rfam family: Bacterial small subunit ribosomal RNA
Source: RNAcentral